ACGCUGGCGGCGUGCCUAAUCAUGCAAGUCGAGCGAACAGAUAAGGAGCUUGCUCCUUUGACGUUAGCGGCGGACGGGUGAGUAACACGUGGGUAACCUACCUAUAAGACUGGAAUAACUCCGGGAAACCGGGGCUAAUGCCGGAUAACAUAUAGAACCGCAUGGUUCUAUAGUGAAAGAUGGUUUUGCUAUCACUUAUAGAUGGACCCGCGCCGUAUUAGCUAGUUGGUAAGGUAAUGGCUUACCAAGGCGACGAUACGUAGCCGACCUGAGAGGGUGAUCGGCCACACUGGAACUGAGACACGGUCCAGACUCCUACGGGAGGCAGCAGUAGGGAAUCUUCCGCAAUGGGCGAAAGCCUGACGGAGCAACGCCGCGUGAGUGAUGAAGGGUUUCGGCUCGUAAAACUCUGUUAUUAGGGAAGAACAUAUGUGUAAGUAACUGUGCACAUCUUGACGGUACCUAAUCAGAAAGCCACGGCUAACUACGUGCCAGCAGCCGCGGUAAUACGUAGGUGGCAAGCGUUAUCCGGAAUUAUUGGGCGUAAAGCGCGCGUAGGCGGUUUCUUAAGUCUGAUGUGAAAGCCCACGGCUCAACCGUGGAGGGUCAUUGGAAACUGGGGAAACUUGAGUGCAAAAGAGAAAAGUGGAAUUCCAUGUGUAGCGGUGAAAUGCCCAAAAAUAUGGAGGAACACCAGUGGCGAAGGCGACUUUCUGGUCUGUAACUGACCCUGAUGUGCAAAACGUGGGGAUCAAACAGGAUAAAUACCCUGGUAGUCCACCCCUAAC
This 788-nucleotide ribosomal RNA is filed under the name Staphylococcus gallinarum. RNAcentral's name for it is "bacterial SSU rRNA". It matches the Rfam family "Bacterial small subunit ribosomal RNA", at positions 33 to 807 of the family's 1533-position model. Lineage: Bacteria; Bacillati; Bacillota; Bacilli; Caryophanales; Staphylococcaceae. The record is from RNAcentral.